UACAGAGGGUGCAAGCGUUAAUCGGAAUUACUGGGCAUAAAGAGCACGUAGGUGGAUAAGUAUGUUGGAUGUAAAAUCCCUGAGCUUAACUUGGGAAUGCCAUUCAAAACUGCUUGUCUAGAGUAUAGUAGAGGGAAGUAGAAUUUCCGGUGUAGCGGUGAAAUGCGUAGAUAUCGGAAGGAAUACCAGUGGCGAAGGCGGCUUCCUGGACUAUUACUGACACUGAGGUGCGAAAGCGUGGGGAGCAAACAGG
This 253-nucleotide unclassified non-coding RNA is filed under the name uncultured Gammaproteobacteria bacterium. RNAcentral's name for it is "contains 16S-23S intergenic spacer region". It matches the Rfam family "Bacterial small subunit ribosomal RNA", at positions 524 to 776 of the family's 1533-position model. Lineage: Bacteria; Pseudomonadati; Pseudomonadota; Gammaproteobacteria. The record is from RNAcentral.